CUACGGGCGGCAGCAGUAGGGAAUAUUGCGCAAUGGGCGAAAGCCUGACGCAGCGACGCCGCGUGAGUGAUGAAGGUCCUCUGGAUUGUAAAGCUCUGUAAGGAGGGAAGAACCGCCUGGUGUAACGGCCAGGUCUGACGGUACCUCCAAAGUAAGCACCGGCUAAAUAAGUGCCAGCAGCCGCGGUAAUACUUAUGGUGCGAGGGGUGUCCGGAAUGACUGGGCGGAAAGGGUGCGUAGGCGGACUUUCAAGUCAGGUGUGAAAUCCCCGGGCUUAACCUGGGAACUGCGCUUGAAACUGGAAGUCUAGAGUAUGGGAGGGGUUAGCGGAAUUCCCGGAGUAGCGGUGAAAUGCGUAGAGAUCGGGAAGAACACCGGUGGCGAAGGCGGCUAACUGGCACAUGACUGACGCUGAGGAGCGAAAGCGUGGGGAGCGAACAGGAUUAGAUACCCCGGUAGUC
This 461-nucleotide ribosomal RNA is filed under the name uncultured bacterium. Its description in RNAcentral is "partial 16S ribosomal RNA". It matches the Rfam family "Bacterial small subunit ribosomal RNA", at positions 339 to 795 of the family's 1533-position model. The record is from RNAcentral.